RNAcentral lists this ribosomal RNA (400 nucleotides) under uncultured bacterium. RNAcentral's name for it is "bacterial SSU rRNA". It matches the Rfam family "Bacterial small subunit ribosomal RNA", at positions 355 to 752 of the family's 1533-position model. The record is from RNAcentral.
UAAGGAAUAUUGGUCAAUGGAGGAAACUCUGAACCAGCCAUCCCGCGUGCAGGAAGAAGGGGCUCUGCCUUGUAAACUGCUUUUGCAUGGGACGAAAAAGCGAGAUUUAUCUUGAACUGACGGUACCAUGAGAAUAAGCACCGGCUAACUCCGUGCCAGCAGCCGCGGUAAUACGGAGGGUGCGAGCGUUAUCCGGAAUCACUGGGUUUAAAGGGUGCGUAGGCGGUUGUAUAAGUCAGUGGUGAAAGGCCGUAGCUUAACUAUGGGAUUGCCAUUGAUACUGUAUAACUUGAGAGAGGUUGAGGUUGGCGGAAUGUGGCAUGUAGCGGUGAAAUGCAUAGAUAUGCCAUAGAACAUCGAUUGCGAAGGCAGCUGACUGGACCUUAUCUGACGCUGAGGC